GUGGGGAAUAUUGGACAAUGGGCGCAAGCCUGAUCCAGCCAUGCCGCGUGUGUGAAGAAGGCCUUCGGGUUGUAAAGCACUUUCAGUGGGGAGGAAGGGUGUUGUGUUAAUAGCACAGCAUUUUGACGUUACCCACAGAAGAAGCACCGGCUAACUCCGUGCCAGCAGCCGCGGUAAUACGGAGGGUGCAAGCGUUAAUCGGAAUUACUGGGCGUAAAGCGCACGCAGGCGGCUUUUUAAGUCGGAUGUGAAAGCCCCGGGCUCAACCUGGGAAUUGCAUCUGAUACUGGGAAGCUAGAGUAUGUGAGAGGGGGGUAGAAUUCCAAGUGUAGCGGUGAAAUGCGUAGAGAUUUGGAGGAAUACCAGUGGCGAAGGCGGCCCCCUGGCACAAUACUGACGCUCAGGUGCGAAAGCGUGGGGAGCAAACAGGAUUAGAUACCCCAGUAGUCC
RNAcentral lists this ribosomal RNA (450 nucleotides) under uncultured Alishewanella sp. Its description in RNAcentral is "bacterial SSU rRNA". It matches the Rfam family "Bacterial small subunit ribosomal RNA", at positions 354 to 796 of the family's 1533-position model. Lineage: Bacteria; Pseudomonadati; Pseudomonadota; Gammaproteobacteria; Alteromonadales; Alteromonadaceae. The record is from RNAcentral.